GGUUAAGCGACUAAGCGUACACGGUGGAUGCCCUGGCAGUCAGAGGCGAUGAAGGACGUGCUAAUCUGCGAAAAGCGUCGGUAAGGUGAUAUGAACCGUUAUAACCGGCGAUGUCCGAAUGGGGAAACCCAGUGCAAUUCGUUGCACUAUCGUUAACUGAAUACAUAGGUUAACGAGGCGAACCGGGGGAACUGAAACAUCUAAGUACCCCGAGGAAAAGAAAUCAACCGAGAUUCCCCAGUAGCGGCGAGCGAACGGGGAGCAGCCCAGAGUCUGAAUCAGCUUGUGUGUUAGUGGAACGGUCUGGAAAGUCCGACGGUACAGGGUGAUAGUCCCGUACACCAAAAUGCACAGGUUGUGAACUCGAAGAGUAGGGCGGGACACGUGGUAUCCUGUCUGAAUAUGGGGGACCAUCCUCCAAGGCUAAAUACUCCUGACUGACCGAUAGUGAACCAGUACCGUGAGGGAAAGGCGAAAAGAACCCCGGCGAGGGGAGUGAAAAAGAACCUGAAACCGUGUACGUACAAGCAGUGGGAGCACCUUCGGGUGUGACUGCGUACCUUUUGUAUAAUGGGUCAGCGACUUAUAUUCUGUAGCAAGGUUAACCGUAUAGGGGAGCCGCAGGGAAACCGAGUCUUAACUGGGCGUUAAGUUGCAGGGUAUAGACCCGAAACCCGGUGAUUCAGCCAUGGGCAGGUUGAAGGUUGGGUAACACUAACUGGAGGACCGAACCGACUAAUGUUGAAAAAUUAGCGGAUGACUUGUGGCUGGGGUGAAAGGCCAAUCAAACCGGGAGAUAGCUGGUUCUCCCCGAAAGCUAUUUAGGUAGCGCCUCGUGAACUCAUCUUCGGGGGUAGAGCACUGUUUCGGCUAGGGGGUCAUCCCGACUUACCAACCCGAUGCAAACUACGAAUACCGAAGAAUGUUAUCACGGGAGACACACGGCGGGUGCUAACGUCCGUCGUGAAGAGGGAAACAACCCAGACCGCCAGCUAAGGUCCCAAAGUCAUGGUUAAGUGGGAAACGAUGUGGGAAGGCACAGACAGCCAGGAUGUUGGCUUAGAAGCAGCCAUCAUUUAAAGAAAGCGUAAUAGCUCACUGGUCGAGUCGGCCUGCGCGGAAGAUGUAACGGGGCUAAACCAUGCACCGAAGCUGCGGCAGCGACACUAUGUGUUGUUGGGUAGGGGAGCGUUCUGUAAGCCUGCGAAGGUGACCUGUGAGGGUUGCUGGAGGUAUCAGAAGUGCGAAUGCUGACAUAAGUAACGAUAAAGCGGGUGAAAAGCCCGCUCGCCGGAAGACCAAGGGUUCCUGUCCAACGUUAAUCGGGGCAGGGUGAGUCGACCCCUAAGGCGAGGCCGAAAGGCGUAGUCGAUGGGAAACAGGUUAAUAUUCCUGUACUUGGUGUUACUGCGAAGGGGGGACGGAGAAGGCUAUGUUAGCCGGGCGACGGUUGUCCCGGUUUAAGCAUGUAGGCUGGUUAUCCAGGCAAAUCCGGAUAAUCAAGGCUGAGGUGUGAUGACGAGGCACUACGGUGCUGAAGUAACAAAUGCCCUGCUUCCGUGAAAGCCUCUAAGCAUCAGGUAACAUCAAAUCGUACCCCAAACCGACACAGGUGGUCAGGUAGAGAAUACCAAGGCGCUUGAGAGAACUCGGGUGAAGGAACUAGGCAAAAUGGUGCCGUAACUUCGGGAGAAGGCACGCUGGUGUGUAGGUGAAGUCCCUGCGGAUGGAGCUGAGACCAGUCGAAGAUACCAGCUGGCUGCAACUGUUUAUUAAAAACACAGCACUGUGCAAACACGAAAGUGGACGUAUACGGUGUGACGCCUGCCCGGUGCCGGAAGGUUAAUUGAUGGGGUUAUCCGUAAGGAGAAGCUCUUGAUCGAAGCCCCGGUAAACGGCGGCCGUAACUAUAACGGUCCUAAGGUAGCGAAAUUCCUUGUCGGGUAAGUUCCGACCUGCACGAAUGGCGUAAUGAUGGCGGGCUGUCUCCACCCGAGACUCAGUGAAAUUGAACUCGCUGUGAAGAUGCAGUGUACCCGCGGCAAGACGGAAAGACCCCGUGAACCUUUACUAUAGCUUGACACUGAACAUUGAGCCUUGAUGUGUAGGAUAGGUGGGAGGCUUUGAAGCGUGGACGCCAGUCUGCGUGGAGCCAACCUUGAAAUACCACCCUUUAAUGUUUGAUGUUCUAACGUUGGCCCCUGACCGGGGUUGCGGACAGUGUCUGGUGGGUAGUUUGACUGGGGCGGUCUCCUCCCAAAGCGUAACGGAGGAGCACGAAGGUUAGCUAAUCCGGUCGGACAUCAGGAGGUUAGUGCAAUGGCAUAAGCUAGCUUGACUGCGAGCGUGACGGCGCGAGCAGGUGCGAAAGCAGGUCAUAGUGAUCCGGUGGUUCUGAAUGGAAGGGCCAUCGCUCAACGGAUAAAAGGUACUCCGGGGAUAACAGGCUGAUACCGCCCAAGAGUUCAUAUCGACGGCGGUGUUUGGCACCUCGAUGUCGGCUCAUCACAUCCGGGGCUGAAGUAGGUCCCAAGGGUAUGGCUGUUCGCCAUUUAAAGUGGUACGCGAGCUGGGUUUAGAACGUCGUGAGACAGUUCGGUCCCCUAUCUGCCGUGGGCGCUGGAGAAUUGAGGGGGCUGCUCCUAGUACGAGAGGACCGGAGUGGACGCAUCACUGGUGUUCGGGUUGUCAUGCCAAUGGCACUGCCCGGUAGCUAAAUGCGGAAGAGAUAAGUGCUGAAAGCAUCUAAGCACGAAACUUGCCCCGAGAUGAGUUCUCCUGAGACUUUAAGUCUCCUGAAGGAACGUUAAAGACGAUGACGUUGAUAGGCCGGGUGUGUAAGCGCAGCGAUGCGUUGAGCUAACCGGUACUAAUGAACCGUGAGGCUUAACCUU
RNAcentral lists this ribosomal RNA (2894 nucleotides) under Klebsiella pneumoniae. Its description in RNAcentral is "23S ribosomal RNA". It matches the Rfam family "Bacterial large subunit ribosomal RNA". The record is from RNAcentral. Lineage: Bacteria; Pseudomonadati; Pseudomonadota; Gammaproteobacteria; Enterobacterales; Enterobacteriaceae.